This 253-nucleotide ribosomal RNA is filed under the name uncultured bacterium. Its description in RNAcentral is "partial 16S ribosomal RNA". It matches the Rfam family "Bacterial small subunit ribosomal RNA", at positions 524 to 776 of the family's 1533-position model. The record is from RNAcentral.
UACAGAGGGGGCAAGCGUUGUUCGGAAUUACUGGGCGUAAAGGGCGCGUAGGCGGCCCGCUAAGUCGAACGUGAAAUCCCCGAGCUCAACUCGGGAACUGCGUCCGAUACUGGCGGGCUUGAAUCCGGGAGAGGGAUGCAGAAUUCCAGGUGUAGCGGUGAAAUGCGUAGAUAUCUGGAGGAAUACCGGUGGCGAAGGCGGCAUCCUGGACCGACAUUGACGCUGAGGAGCGAAAGCUAGGGGAGCAAACGGG